Molecule: long non-coding RNA, 4443 nt
Organism: Humulus lupulus (European hop)
Lineage: Eukaryota; Viridiplantae; Streptophyta; Magnoliopsida; Rosales; Cannabaceae
Exons: 7
Source: RefSeq, a predicted model, not a curated record
UAAGGUUGAAUCCCUAAUAACCCUUCACGCCUCCUUUGUUUCUGUCUCACACUCAGUCACUUGGUUCUCUCUCCUUCAUGCUCUCUCUCUAUCUCUCUCUCUAUCACACACAAUCUCUUGGGUCUCUCUCAUUCAUACCGAUACUCUGUAUUCCUUCCCAUUGAGCCGCUGAAGCACACCAUGGCGACACCGAUGCUGAAACACACCACAACAUCGUCCCUUGUGGUGUGGUAGCCGUUGAGCCACUGAAGAACCAAGCGUGCUAGCCGCUGAACUACUGAAGAGCCAGGCAACGUAUUGAGCUGCUAAAGAACUAGGCAGUCACUGAAGAACUAGGCGACGUUCUACACCAAUUUGCAAACCUCCGUUUGUCUCCGAGAAUUACAGGGAUUUGACUGGCACUUCUUGGUCGCUCAUAAACUUCUUAAUUACUUUCUUGUUGCUACUGAAUUUGAUUAAGGUUGAACCAUACUUAGAGGGGGGUUGUAUAUAUCUAGUGGAGGGGGAUGACAGCGGAACAGAUGAGAUAAAACUAUAAUGGUGACAUAACACACAACAAUAAUUCAGUAUGGCAUUUCUAAAUUCAUGUUCUGUUUUAGUGCCUGUUACCGGUAUUGCUUUUAAUCUCUAUGCUUUGUAUUUGUUUAUUUGCUUAUGUGUCUAACUGAAGCAGUAUAUUGGUUUGAGAGAUUGUGUACUCCUAUCAUAUUGGUUUGAGAGAUUUUGUACUCUUGUCAUAUUGGUUUGAGAAAUUUUGGGGUAUUUUAUAUCUGUUCUCAGUUGUAAUUUCUCAGAUUUGGUAUAAGUUAAAAAAUAAAAGUUUUAUUAAAAAAAGUGAUUUGAUUUGGGUUCAGGGUGUUGCUCUAUCUUCCUGAAGAAAACCCAGAGAUUGUCAUUAAUAUCAAGUUUUUUUUUCUAUCCAAGUAAAUGGAACAGUUAUAAAUCGAUGGGUCCCAUUUAGAGUUGCAUGAAGCAACAAUUGUAAAAAACAAGAGCAUCAAUGAAAAACAUGAUAAACAAUUGUGGCAUUCGAGAUGGAUGUUAUCCAUGCAAGAAGGCCUGAAGGGCAGUUCUUUUGUCAAGGGAUAUGGAUUUUGCAUGACCUUCAGGGAUCCAACUGGAGCCGUUCAAGCACCACGAAGAUGUACCAGGAUGUGAGAUCAUUGUAUUGGUAGCCUGGGAUGAAGAGGGAUGUAGUGAAGUAUGUAGCUAAGUACUUGACAUGUCAACAGGUCAAGGCCGAGCAUCAGAGGCCAGCAGGGUUAUUGCAGCUUCUAGACAUCCGAGAGUGGAAAUGGGAAGACAUCACGAUGGAUUUCGUGGUGGGGUUACCCAGGAAUGUUGGUUAACAUGAUUCAGUAUGGGUUAUUGUGGAUCGUUAUACCAAGUCAGCUCACUUCUUACCAGUGAGGAAUACAUAUACAGUUGACCAGUACGCAUAUCUCUAUGUGAGAGAGAUCGAGUGCCUCCAUGGAGCACCGAGUUCGAUCGUGUCAGAUCGGGACCACACUUUCACUUCCAAGUUUUGGGGGAGUUUACAGAAGGCCAUGGGAACACAGUUGAAGUUCAGUACUGCUUAUCAUCCUCAGACAGAUGGACAAUCUGAGAGGACGAUUUAGAUAUUAGAGAACAUCCUGCGAGCAUGUGUGGUGGACUUUGGUGGAUCCUGGAGUAAGUAUCUACCUUUGAUAGAGUUUUCCUACAACAAUAGUUAUCGGUCUACCAUUGGGGUGGCAACUUAUGAGAUGCUGUAUGGUAGGAAAUGCAGAUCUCCCAUUUUUUGGGAUGAGACAUGGGAAGAAGAUACUUGGGUCCUGAGGAAGUUUAGAGGACUAGUGAGGCCAUUGAGAAGAUUAGAGCUCGGAUGCUUUAUUCUCAGAGUAGGCAGAAAAGUUAUGCAAAUCCUAAACGUAGGAAUGUAGAGUUCCAAGUGGGAGACUAUGGGCCUGUUUGGCAUUGUUUUCUGUUUUUUGUUUUCAAAAUUUUGUUCUCAGAAAUGAUAACAGAAAACUGUUUUUGUAGUUUUCAAAAAAUAAGAGUUUUUUGGUUAAUGUUUUCUAAAAAUAAUUUUUUUAGUUUUAUUUUUUUUAAAUCUUAAAUAAAAAAUUAACAAAUAUAUUUACAAAGAGAAAAAUAUUUUAAAAAUUUGUAAUAAAUAAUGAGAUAAAAUAAUUUGAAAGAAAAAAUUAUGAAAUAUAAGAAGUAAAGUUAGGAAAAAAAAUUUGAGAACAACAGAAAAUAACUUUUUGUUGUUCUCAAAAUUUUCUGUUUUUUGUAACUUUGUUUUUAAAAAUUAUUUUCUAAAAACAAUGCCAAACACCCCUACUUGUUUUCAAAAAACAAUUUUUAGCUUUUAAAAACAAAAAAUAGUUUUUUAGUUAAGGUGCCAAACACCCUCUAUGUCUUCCUUAGAGUCUCGCCAUGGAAAGGGGUGAGGAGAUUUUGGAAGAAGGGCAAGUUGAGCCCUAGAUUUGUAGGUCCAUUUGAAAUCCUGGAGAGGAUUGGUCAGGUGGCUUAUAGGUUGGCCUUACCACCGCCAUUGUCAGCCGUGCAUAAUGUAUUUCAUGUUUCAUCUCUUCAGAGGUAUGUAUCUGAUGUGACUCAUGUUUUGAGUUACGAAGAUCUGGAGCUUGAGGCAGAUCUCUCCUAUGAGGAACAGCUAAUCCAGAUACUUGAUAGAAAGGACAAGGUCCUCAUGAAUAAAAUGAUACAUUUGGUUAAAUGUAUUAUGGAGGAACAACAAUGUCGAGGAAACGACUUGGGAGCUGGAAUCAGAUAUGCAAAUCACUAUCCCAAACUGUUCAGGUAAAUUUCAGGGACGAAAUUUCUGUAAGGAGGGGAUAGUUGUAAUGCCCCAAAAUCCCUAAUGAGGUUUAAUGGUCGGAUUAGUAGGCAGGGAGGGCCAUAAUUGAUUUAUUAUGCCAUUAAAUGAUUAUAUGCAUGAUACUAUGAAUUAUAUUAUUAUAUGAUGAUAAAUACAUGCAUGUGGGUCCACUUUUCGUUAUAAGGGUAUUUUGGUAAUUUGGCCCGUUGGAGGCAUAUUUGUAUAUUUUCGUUCAUGUUGGUGAAUUAUUGAUGAGGUCACAUUAUAAUGUGGAUUUUUUCUAGCUAUUCGGCAUGAGACGAUCUUUGAAUACUAGUUAGCUGUUUGGUCAUAACGGGGUUAAUUUCGGGGCUCGAGGUAAGUCUCGAGGUAAUUUGAUGAUUAGUACAUUACUGGGAAUUAAAGGGUAAUGCUAUAUGAUUUAUUAGUAUUUGAGAAUAUUGAGAAUAACGAGAAUUGGAUGACGAUAAUUAUGAUUAACGAGAUAGGUGGAAAAAUACGGUUUUACCCUUGGUAGCCUUAAGAGGAAAUUAAAUGACCUAGGGGUAUUUUUGUGUUUUGACCUAAGGUUAUAUAUCAACUAGAAAGCUGUAGAAAAACUAAACCAAAAAUAGAGCAACUAGUUUCUUCUCCUGAUCAUCAUUUCUACUUCUUCCUUUGAAUUUUUGAAGCCCAAUUGAGGAUUCAAGCUAGGGAAGUGAGCUUUGAGGGUGUAGGAUUGUGUUCCACCACUGAAGAGGGUUCCAUCUUGAGCUUGAGGUAAGAUUCUAGCCAUGGAAACUUUGGUUAUACUCUGUUUUUCAUUUGAUUUUCAGUUGGGAUUUUUGAUUUGGAUAGUGGGAACUCAAGGAAGCUUUUAGCAAAGAUUGAUUGGGUUUUGAUGCCUAGGACUUGUAGGAUUGGUUUUUGGGUUCAUUUGUAAGUUUGGUUGAGGUUUGGAGUCAGUACAUGAAGUUUGGAAAGUGGAGAACUCGAAGGGGAAAAACCAGGGUUGAAUCACCCUGGUUCUAGCGCUACAGCGCCCAAGGGAGGGCGCUACAGUGUUGUCCAGGGCAAGUCAACCCUGCUUGUAGUGCCUAGGCGCAUGGGGGGCAGCGCUGUAGCACUCCCCUAUUUUUCUAGUGUCCUAUUUUGAGCACUUUUGAGGGUUUUUGGCUCGGGGUUUCAAUUCCCAAGGUUCGGAUCGAAUCUACUAAUCGUUUGAGUAAGAUUCAAGGUCCCGGGAGUAAGGUUUAGGUCAAGAACCUUUUAUUGUUGAUUUUAUUGAUGGAGUUCCAUAUUUGGUUAUGACUAGGUGACUGCUAAGGGAUCAAAGGACCGAUCGUUCUCAAUGGUCGUUCUUUUAUUAUUUCUCGCUCGAACAAGAGGUAAAGGGAAAAAAAAGCUCACCCAAACUUGAGUGGAGAUCUUAGGUGACGAUGUGUACAUAUGCGGCUGCUUGACCACCAUGUCCAAGGUGUUUCUCAGGGGAACUAGGGGUUAAUCCUAUAUUUUUGCCUCUUAGGUCUGCGGGUUUUUUACACUGUAAUGGCCAUUUUGGAUUGUAAAUAACUUGUAAAUAUUUUUAUGGGCCCCGUACAAUUUUAUGUUUUAAAUAAAAUAUAUCAUUUCCUUUUGAU